Molecule: long non-coding RNA, 616 nt
Organism: Xyrauchen texanus (razorback sucker)
Lineage: Eukaryota; Metazoa; Chordata; Actinopteri; Cypriniformes; Catostomidae
Exons: 3
Source: RefSeq, a predicted model, not a curated record
AGUCGUUCCCUCUCUCAGGGAACCGAGGUUACGUUAGUAACCGAGUCGUUUUCAUGCUAAACUCUCUGGAGGUAAAAAAUAUCAGUGAAUAAUGAAUGUCUGUUCCUUCCACACAGCUAUCGUGUGGCUUCUGAAGACUUGGAAUAUAGUGCAUGAGUUUUAUGGACUACGUUUAUAGUGCUUGUUCUGUCCUUAUUGGAUCUUUGCAGACAUGGUCGCUGUGAACUGUCCCAUGGAAAAUAAUGUGAAGAUGGCAUAAGAGGUUUUAAACAACAUGAGCUGUUAACAUGAGGAGAAGGAUUUCCAGUAGAAGAGCUUGCAUGGAGAUUUGUCUUUAGGAACUGGUUCUCCAAAAACAGACCUCUCUCCCAGUUUGCCAUUCAGCAAAUCAGAGUCAAGAUCUGCUAGUUCCUUACUAGUGAGGUUCAGCUCCGCCAUGUCUGUCAUCAUCAUCUUCAACAAGUCCUUGUCUUUGGCAAAGCCUCAGUGCUGUCACUAUUCCACAAAAUAAGGAGCAGAGGAUAUAGGCUCAGCAGCAUCCGCAUGAUGAACACACUUCUCUCUACUACAGCACGAUUAUCCCAUCCAACUCCCAUUGUCUUUUUUUAUAGGGGAA